CUGACAUGUCAGUGAUGCCUGUUUUCUGACCCCAAACUUUCCUAGGAGAUGGGAGGUUAGAAUGCUUCCAGAAUGGCCCAGGAUGCUGGAGAUUUGGGGUGUCUUUUAAAGAAUCCAAAACAAGCAAGCAAGCCAAGCUGAAGGCUGUUCUGCCCAUCCCAGUUGCUCUGUGUAGAUCUUAUGAAGAAAUCCAUUGACAAACUCCUGAAGAACUCUAAGAAAGGGAAGCUUGAGCAUCAGGGGUACGACUGUCACCACAACUUCAAAGCACAAGGUUCUGGUAUUGAGAUGUAGUCCAGGAAACCACAGGGAGUGAGUUGAAGUCCCAAACAUAGAAUGGAACACUGCCCUCCAGACAAGACACCAGUGUGAACUGCUAGGCUAUAUCUCCAGGAAAGUUGGUCAAGUAUCUUCUCUCACUGUGAAUUUACUGGAGUGGACAUUGAUAGGUUUUCUGUACCCCUAUAAUAGGUUUCUCUGCUGACACGGUAAGCCAGAUCAAGCCAAACUUUUAAUAAAGCACUCUCGAGUGAC
Molecule: non-coding RNA, 534 nt
Organism: Peromyscus maniculatus bairdii (prairie deer mouse)
Lineage: Eukaryota; Metazoa; Chordata; Mammalia; Rodentia; Cricetidae
Source: RefSeq, a predicted model, not a curated record